This 348-nucleotide ribosomal RNA is filed under the name uncultured rumen bacterium. RNAcentral's name for it is "partial 16S ribosomal RNA". The record is from RNAcentral.
UAUUCCCCACUGCUGCCUCCCGUAGGAGUCUGGACCGUGUCUCAGUUCCAGUGUGGCUGGUCAUCCUCUCAGACCAGCUAGGGAUCGUCGCCUAGGUGAGCCGUUACCCCACCUACUAGCUAAUCCCAUCUGGGCACAUCUGAUGGCAAGAGGCCCGAAGGUCCCCCUCUUUGGUCUUGCGACGUUAUGCGGUAUUAGCUACCGUUUCCAGUAGUUAUCCCCCUCCAUCAGGCAGUUUCCCAGACAUUACUCACCCGUCCGCCACUCGUCAGCGAAACAGCAAGCUGUUUCCUGUUACCGUUCGACUUGCAUGUGUUAGGCCUGCCGCCAGCGUUCAUCCUGAGCCAA